UACGUAGGGGGCAAGCGUUGUCCGGAAUCAUUGGGCGUAAAGCGCGUGUAGGCGGUUCGGUGAGUCUGCUGUGAAAGUCCAGGGCUCAACCCUGGGAUGCCGGUGGAUACUGUCGGACUAGAGUGCGGAAGAGGCGAGUGGAAUUCCCGGUGUAGCGGUGAAAUGCGCAGAUAUCGGGAGGAACACCAAUUGCGAAGGCAGCUCGCUGGGACGUUACUGACGCUGAGACGCGAAAGCGUGGGGAGCAAACAGG
This 253-nucleotide ribosomal RNA is filed under the name uncultured bacterium. RNAcentral describes it as "partial 16S ribosomal RNA". It matches the Rfam family "Bacterial small subunit ribosomal RNA", at positions 524 to 776 of the family's 1533-position model. The record is from RNAcentral.